GCCGCCAUGGUGAAAUUGGUAGACACGCUGCUCUUAGGAAGCAGUGCGAGAGCAUCUCGAUUCAAAUCCGAGUGGCGGCA
Non-coding RNA from Picea glauca (white spruce), 80 nucleotides. NCBI's taxonomy places the organism in Eukaryota, Viridiplantae, Streptophyta, Pinopsida, Pinales, Pinaceae. The record is from Rfam.